This 256-nucleotide ribosomal RNA is filed under the name uncultured bacterium. RNAcentral's name for it is "partial 16S ribosomal RNA". It matches the Rfam family "Bacterial small subunit ribosomal RNA", at positions 793 to 1055 of the family's 1533-position model. The record is from RNAcentral.
GUCCACGCCGUAAACGAUGGAUACUAGCUGUUCGGAGCAAUCUGAGUGGCUAAGCGAAAGUGAUAAGUAUCCCACCUGGGGAGUACGAACGCAAGUUUGAAACUCAAAGGAAUUGACGGGGGCCCCGCACAAGCGGUGGAGCAUGUGGUUUAAUUCGAUGAUACGCGAGGAACCUUACCAAGGCUUAAAUGUAGAUUGACCGGUUUGGAAACAGAUCUUUCGCAAGACAAUUUACAAGGUGCUGCAUGGUUGUCGU